Molecule: ribosomal RNA, 254 nt
Filed under: uncultured bacterium
Lineage: Bacteria
Description: partial 16S ribosomal RNA
Rfam family: Bacterial small subunit ribosomal RNA
Source: RNAcentral
UACAGAGGUCCCAAGCGUUGUUCGGAUUCACUGGGCGUAAAGGGUGCGUAGGUGGCGAGGUAAGUCGGAUGUGAAAGCUCGGAGCUCAACUCCGAAAUGGCAUUGGAAACUACCUUGCUUGAGGGUUGGAAGGGGGGACUGGAAUUCUCGGUGUAGCAGUGAAAUGCGUAGAUAUCGAGAGGAACACCAGUGGCGAAGGCGAGUCCCUGGACAAUACCUGACACUGAGGCACGAAAGCUAGGGGAGCAAACAGG